GCUUAGGACAGACCGAGGGGAUUGGGGAGGGUGUGGUGCCUCACGGGUAGGCAUUGGGGGAGGAGGCGGCACCAACUGUGGCCAGCCGACCGAUGGGGACGACGGGAAGAGGCAGGGCACCUUUUGUGGUGAAUCCGCCACCUCCGCCACCGUGACUUCCGCGCACCCGGCUCCGCUUCGCUCCACCACCGUCGUUAUUGUCGGGAUUGAGGCCAGGGGCUUCAUAUUUGGCCUGGCAAUUGCGUUGGCUAUCGGCGCCAAGUUCAUACCGCUGCGCAAGCCUAGAAAGCUCCCAGGGUUCUAGUGUGGAAGCAAAUGUAUGAUUUAAAGAAGAAGAUUGUUUUUACUAGUUGCAGUGUCUAUGUGAUAAGCUUAUGCAAAGAAGCUUUUUUUUUCUUGAGAACACUGAUUAUGAAUGGAGUUGAACCAUAAUUCCUUUUUUCAUAUAUAUCUUGGAUAUCUGGAUGGAGAUGAUCUAUGAUUUGGUGACGAAUGGAUUAGCUAGGUUCAAUUUACCACUGGAAUUAAUUUUUCAAUGUAUUGGACUAUGUCAAAUAAUUUUGGUCUUGUGAUUUUUCAUGCAUCAUGUUCAUGUGCAUAAAAAUAAUGUGGUUGACAUUGAUCUGUGGUGA
This is a long non-coding RNA of Sorghum bicolor (sorghum), 632 nucleotides long. RefSeq lists it as uncharacterized. The record is from RefSeq and is a predicted model, not a curated record. The transcript has 3 exons. NCBI's taxonomy places the organism in Eukaryota, Viridiplantae, Streptophyta, Magnoliopsida, Poales, Poaceae.